UAAAUUCAAGGUUUUUAUCAUCAUUUUUUAUGAAAUUUUUAUUUUGACCAUUCAUUUUUAAACUACUCGUUUGAUUGGUAAAUAAUGCCAAAAAAUUAUAAAAUUUAGUUUCCAAAUACUUUAAAUAGUAUAGAUCAAAUCCAACGGAGCCAAUCGUCGAUUUGGAAGUAGUAUCAGUGAAAACAACUUAGUAGCACUGAGGCCUCCGUGCUACCGAUAGUAUACCAGCCUAGCUCUCUCUCUCUCUCUAUAUAUAUAUAUAUUUAUUUAA
This 271-nucleotide long non-coding RNA is filed under the name Ananas comosus (pineapple). RNAcentral's name for it is "long non-coding RNA (ACOM_LNC032874)". Lineage: Eukaryota; Viridiplantae; Streptophyta; Magnoliopsida; Poales; Bromeliaceae. The record is from RNAcentral.